Molecule: ribosomal RNA, 546 nt
Filed under: Colletotrichum acutatum
Lineage: Eukaryota; Fungi; Ascomycota; Sordariomycetes; Glomerellales; Glomerellaceae
Description: eukaryotic LSU rRNA
Rfam family: 5.8S ribosomal RNA (bases 194-347)
Source: RNAcentral
AGGGAUCAUUACUGAGUUACCGCUCUAUAACCCUUUGUGAACGUACCUAACCGUUGCUUCGGCGGGCAGGGGAAGCCUCUCGCGGGCCUCCCCUCCCGGCGCCGGCCCCCACCACGGGGACGGGGCGCCCGCCGGAGGAAACCAAACUCUAUUUACACGACGUCUCUUCUGAGUGGCACAAGCAAAUAAUUAAAACUUUUAACAACGGAUCUCUUGGUUCUGGCAUCGAUGAAGAACGCAGCGAAAUGCGAUAAGUAAUGUGAAUUGCAGAAUUCAGUGAAUCAUCGAAUCUUUGAACGCACAUUGCGCUCGCCAGCAUACUGGCGAGCAUGCCUGUUCGAGCGUCAUUUCAACCCUCAAGCACCGCUUGGCUUUGGGGCCCCACGGCACACGUGGGCCCUUAAAGGUAGUGGCGGACCCUCCCGGAGCCUCCUUUGCGUAGUAACUAACGUCUCGCACUGGGAUCCGGGAGGGACUCUUGCCGUAAACCCCCCCAAUUCUUUACAGGUUGACCUCGGAUCAGGUAGGAAUACCCGCUGAACUUAA